UGCCUGACUGACUCUGCCUCCCUG
Molecule: non-coding RNA, 24 nt
Filed under: Rattus norvegicus (Norway rat)
Lineage: Eukaryota; Metazoa; Chordata; Mammalia; Rodentia; Muridae
Source: RNAcentral